RNAcentral lists this ribosomal RNA (227 nucleotides) under Chloropicon laureae. RNAcentral describes it as "partial Bacterial small subunit ribosomal RNA". It matches the Rfam family "Bacterial small subunit ribosomal RNA", at positions 764 to 994 of the family's 1533-position model. The record is from RNAcentral. Lineage: Eukaryota; Viridiplantae; Chlorophyta; Chloropicophyceae; Chloropicales; Chloropicaceae.
GGUAGCGACAGGGAUUAGAGACCCCUCUAGUCCACGCCGUAAACGAUGAGUGUUCACUUUGGGUCUUAAUGAUCCGAGGUCUAGCUAACGCGUUAAACACUCCGCCUGGGGAGUACGGUCGCAAGGCUGAAACUCAAGGGAAUUGACGGGGGCUCGCACAAGUGGUGGAUCAUCUUGUUUAAUUCGAUAAUACGCGCAAAACCUUACCAACCCUUGACAUCUUUUUU